UACGGAGGGAGCUAGCGUUGUUCGGAAUUACUGGGCGUAAAGCGCGCGUAGGCGGCUUUGUAAGUUAGAGGCGAAAGCCCGGGGCUCAACCCCGGAACUGCCUUUAAGACUGCAUCGCUUGAAUCCGGGAGAGGUGAGUGGAAUUCCGAGUGUAGAGGUGAAAUUCGUAGAUAUUCGGAAGAACACCAGUGGCGAAGGCGGCUCACUGGACCGGUAUUGACGCUGAGGUGCGAAAGCGUGGGGAGCAAACAGG
Molecule: ribosomal RNA, 253 nt
Filed under: uncultured bacterium
Lineage: Bacteria
Description: partial 16S ribosomal RNA
Rfam family: Bacterial small subunit ribosomal RNA
Source: RNAcentral